RNAcentral lists this transfer RNA (58 nucleotides) under Loxodonta africana (African savanna elephant). It matches the Rfam family "tRNA", at positions 8 to 63 of the family's 71-position model. Rfam says of the family: Transfer RNA (tRNA) molecules are approximately 80 nucleotides in length. Their secondary structure includes four short double-helical elements and three loops (D, anti-codon, and T loops). Lineage: Eukaryota; Metazoa; Chordata; Mammalia; Proboscidea; Elephantidae. The record is from Rfam by way of RNAcentral.
UGGCACAAUGGUGAAAGCUCUUGGCUGCAAACCAAAAAGUUGGUGGUUCAAACCCACC